RNAcentral lists this ribosomal RNA (484 nucleotides) under uncultured bacterium. RNAcentral describes it as "partial 16S ribosomal RNA". It matches the Rfam family "Bacterial small subunit ribosomal RNA", at positions 30 to 507 of the family's 1533-position model. The record is from RNAcentral.
AUUGAACGCUGGCGGCAGGCCUAACACAUGCAAGUCGAGCGGAUGAAGGGAGCUUGCUCCUGGAUUCAGCGGCGGACGGGUGAGUAAUGCCUAGGAAUCUGCCUGGUAGUGGGGGAUAACGUCCGGAAACGGGCGCUAAUACCGCAUACGUCCUGAGGGAGAAAGUGGGGGAUCUUCGGACCUCACGCUAUCAGAUGAGCCUAGGUCGGAUUAGCUAGUUGGUGGGGUAAAGGCCUACCAAGGCGACGAUCCGUAACUGGUCUGAGAGGAUGAUCAGUCACACUGGAACUGAGAAACGGUCCAGACUCCUACGGGAGGCAGCAGUGGGGAAUAUUGGACAAUGGGCGAAAGCCUGAUCCAGCCAUGCCGCGUGUGUGAAGAAGGUCUUCGGAUUGUAAAGCACUUUAAGUUGGGAGGAAGAGCAGUAAGUUAAUACCUUGCUGUUUUGACGUUACCAACAGAAUAAGCACCGGCUAACUUCGUG